This 343-nucleotide RNase P RNA is filed under the name uncultured Lachnoclostridium sp. Its description in RNAcentral is "Bacterial RNase P class A". It matches the Rfam family "Bacterial RNase P class A". From Rfam's summary of the family: Ribonuclease P (RNase P) is a ubiquitous endoribonuclease, found in archaea, bacteria and eukarya as well as chloroplasts and mitochondria. Its best characterised activity is the generation of mature 5'-ends of tRNAs by cleaving the 5'-leader elements of precursor-tRNAs. Lineage: Bacteria; Bacillati; Bacillota; Clostridia; Lachnospirales; Lachnospiraceae. The record is from RNAcentral.
GUAAAACAGGUGGUCGCUGCUGCAGGAACGAAAGGCUGCAGGAGAGGAAAGUCCGGGCUUCACAGGGCAGGAUGCCAGAUAACGUCUGGUGGAGGCGACUCCAAGGAAAGUGCAACAGAAAUAAACCGCAGAGAUGAUACCUCUGUAAGGGUGGAAAGGCAGUGUAAGAGACUACCGCCUUCCUGGUAACAGGGAGGGCAUAUGUAAACCCCAUCCGAAGCAAGGCCGAACAGGGAGCAAGGGCGGCCCGUCUGCUCCCGGGUUGGCUGCUUGAACCUGGCGGUGACGCCAGGUCUAGAUAGAUGACCACUCAACGACAUAACCCGGCUUAUCGUUUUGCUCA